Bombina bombina (fire-bellied toad) is the source of this 480-nucleotide long non-coding RNA. RefSeq lists it as uncharacterized. The transcript is spliced from 2 exons. The record is from RefSeq and is a predicted model, not a curated record. Lineage: Eukaryota; Metazoa; Chordata; Amphibia; Anura; Bombinatoridae.
CACCACCACUACACCCACAAUCAAAUAAUGCUCCUCUAGUACUACGUUAGUCACCAGAGGAACCAAGUCCAAAGCUUCCUGCUCAGAACCACACAGUUCAACCACUACCACCAGCAAGUUGGUCCAGGAUGAAGACUGUUAUACCUCCACUAGCAUCUGUCAACUCUGUUCUCCGGACAAAGCCAAGGUAUCCGGUCCUGGCCCAAAGACUGUUUGUAUCUCCAAAGCUGAGCCUGGUGUUGAAAUGGUCAGCCUGCAGACUCUCACUGUCAUAAAUUGUGUAAUAUCCACUGGCUGUGUGCGGACUGUUCACCCAUAUCUAUGAAAAUACAAAAUAAUGUAUAAAGAAAUAAAAGAUCACAAGCUUCACAUAUAAAGCAAUAGUAAAAAUAAAAAAAUGUUCAUACAUGAAAGAACAAUCUUGUUAAACGUGGUGCAUGGCAAAAUGUAUAUUAAACAUGUUAGAAUCAAUACUAAAAA